RNAcentral lists this long non-coding RNA (226 nucleotides) under Sorghum bicolor (sorghum). RNAcentral describes it as "long non-coding RNA (SBIC_LNC003108)". Lineage: Eukaryota; Viridiplantae; Streptophyta; Magnoliopsida; Poales; Poaceae. The record is from RNAcentral.
CAAAACAGUGAACCAGAGGGGAGAGAGACAGUGGCUGACAAGUGGGGUCUGCUGACAGACGGGACCCACGCGACAGAGAGACAGAGACAGGGGAGAUAUCGUCGCCGGCGAAACUCAACGACGGCGAGGUCUCGGUCGAAUCCAAGGGCACCAUCGUGACCCUCUCACCAAGGUGGACCUGCCGAGGUGCGAAACCCUAACUCUACCGAGCUCUAGGGGGCUCGGC